CUCAAGCCAUGAACGGUGGAGCAUGCGCACCAUAUGUGUAAUGCGUUGCCGGUGACAGAUAGGGCUUUGGUUCCCGUCUCCGGGUGUUUUCGAAUGAAGCAGCAAGAAAGGCCCGAGGGGGCGGUGCAGCUCAAGAAGCAAUAAUCACCAACAUCACAAGCUUUCAUGCAGAAUAAGGUGCCAUGUUGAAUCCAGUGCGAGUUCAGUUUCCAACAGUUCAUCGUGUCAGAGAGGGUCAGACAGUGAGAAUGAACUGUGCACCAUGAGAAGCAUCAAACUGCAAGAAAUGAUCAUUCAUUGGUAGCAACAGUUCCUGAGGAAAAGAAAGGGCAAGAUGAUAGCUCGUUCCAGAAAUAAUUCACCAGGAAAUUCCUCCAGCUUUCCUGCUUCAUUUCAACUUUCCAGAGAGCCCUCCUAGAACAGCUUCAUUCUGCCCAUUACAAAUGUACAGACCAUUGACACUGCCAUCUCUACCUGCAAUGUGUGGGGCUAUAUCCAUUCAAUUACUGUCCCUCAGUCUAGUCUAUAAGACCAUAAGAUAUAAGAGCAGAAGGAGGCCAUUUGGCCCAUCGAGCCUCGUUUGCCAUCAUGGCUCACCUGUUUCUCAACUUCAUUCACCUGGCCACACCCAAUAACUUUUGACUUCCUUACUGACCAAAAUCUAUCUAUCUCUGUCUUAUAUACACUCAAUGACUUGGCCUCCAAAGCCCUUUGCAUAAUAGGUUCCACAGAUUCAUCGCCCUUUGGCUGAUAAAAUUCCUUCUCAUCUCAGCUGCCCUUGUGGAAUGUCACCCAGACUAAUUUCUUCCCAUGUGACUCUGUGUGAGAAACCCUGGAAAGUUUUCCAGUGUUAAAGGCACUAUGAAAAUAAAAGUUGUUGUUGUUGUUUAAUCAGGUUUGAGCCAAUCCACGCAUCAGUUUCCAUAUGUUAACCUAAUAUGGCUUUCAAAUGUUGCAGUCAGAGACUGGAAAAUGACAUCAUGAACAACAGGGAACAACAGUUGCUGCCUGUGGUCUGGGUGUUUUCUUCUUGCUCAUCUUUGUUGAUUAUUUUUUGGCUGAGUGUGUUCAGCAGAUAUCUUCAGUUGUGCUUGGUUUCACUGAUAUAACCAGUUUCUGAAUAAAAAUUAAUUAUC
This is a long non-coding RNA of Chiloscyllium plagiosum (whitespotted bambooshark), 1136 nucleotides long. RefSeq lists it as uncharacterized. Lineage: Eukaryota; Metazoa; Chordata; Chondrichthyes; Orectolobiformes; Hemiscylliidae. The record is from RefSeq and is a predicted model, not a curated record.